RNAcentral lists this ribosomal RNA (1518 nucleotides) under metagenome. RNAcentral's name for it is "bacterial SSU rRNA". It matches the Rfam family "Bacterial small subunit ribosomal RNA". The record is from RNAcentral.
AGAGUUUGAUCCUGGCUCAGAUUGAACGCUGGCGGCGUGCUUAACACAUGCAAGUCGAACGAGAAAGGGACUUCGGUCCUGAGUAGAGUGGCGCACGGGUGAGUAACGCGUAGGUAAUCUACCUCUGCAUCUGGGAUAACACUUCGAAAGGGGUGCUAAUACCGGAUACACUUAUGGAUCGCAAGGUCUAUAAGGAAAGGAGACCUCUCCUUGGAAGUUUCUGUGUAGAGAUGAGCCUGCGUCCCAUUAGCUAGUUGGUAGGGUAAUGGCCUACCAAGGCGACGAUGGGUAGCGGGUCUGAGAGGAUGAUCCGCCACACUGGAACUGAAACACGGACCAGACUCCUACGGGAGGCAGCAGUGAGGAAUAUUGGACAAUGGGCGCAAGCCUGAUCCAGCGACGCCGCGUGAGUGAUGAAGGCCUUUGGGUCGUAAAGCUCUGUCAGCAGGGAAGAACGGCCGUGCGGUUAAUACCCGUGCGGAUUGACGGUACCUGCAGAGGAAGCACCGGCUAACUCCGUGCCAGCAGCCGCGGUAAUACGGAGGGUGCGAGCGUUAAUCGGAAUUACUGGGCGUAAAGGGCGCGUAGGCGGCCAAUCAAGUCAGAUGUGAAAGCCCACGGCUUAACCGUGUGAAGUGCAUCUGAAACUGGUUGGCUUGAGUAUCGGAGAGGAAAGUGGAAUUCCCGGUGUAGAGGUGAAAUUCGUAGAUAUCGGGAGGAAUACCGGUGGCGAAGGCGACUUUCUGGACGAAUACUGACGCUGAGGCGCGAAAGCGUGGGGAGCAAACAGGAUUAGAUACCCUGGUAGUCCACAGCUGUAAACGAUGUGCACUAGAUGUGGGGAAGUUGACCUUUCCUGUGUCGCAGCUAACGCAUUAAGUGCACCGCCUGGGGAGUACGGCCGCAAGGUUAAAACUCAAAGGAAUUGACGGGGGCCCGCACAAGCGGUGGAGUAUGUGGUUUAAUUCGACGCAACGCGCAGAACCUUACCUAGACUUGACAUCCCGGGAAUUUUCUGGAAACAGAGAAGUGCUUUAGCAAUAAAGAAUCCGGUGACAGGUGCUGCAUGGCUGUCGUCAGCUCGUGUCGUGAGAUGUUGGGUUAAGUCCCGCAACGAGCGCAACCCUCGCCUUUAGUUGCCAGCAUUCAGUUGGGCACUCUAGAGGGACUGCCGGUGUCAAACCGGAGGAAGGUGGGGAUGACGUCAAGUCCUCAUGGCCUUUAUGUCUAGGGCUACACACGUACUACAAUGGCCGGUACAAAGGGCAGCCACUCAGCGAUGAGGCGCUAAUCCCAUAAAGCCGGUCUCAGUCCGGAUCGCAGUCUGCAACUCGACUGCGUGAAGUUGGAAUCGCUAGUAAUCGUAGAUCAGCAUGCUACGGUGAAUACGUUCCCGGGCCUUGUACACACCGCCCGUCACACCACGAGAGUUGGUUGUUCCAGAAGCGGUUGAGCUAACCUUCGGGAAGCAGGCUGCCAAGGAAUGGUCGGUAAUUGGGGUGAAGUCGUAACAAGGUA